Molecule: transfer RNA, 83 nt
Organism: Pleurotus ostreatus PC15
Lineage: Eukaryota; Fungi; Basidiomycota; Agaricomycetes; Agaricales; Pleurotaceae
Rfam family: tRNA
About the family: Transfer RNA (tRNA) molecules are approximately 80 nucleotides in length. Their secondary structure includes four short double-helical elements and three loops (D, anti-codon, and T loops). Further hydrogen bonds mediate the characteristic L-shaped molecular structure. tRNAs have two regions of fundamental functional importance: the anti-codon, which is responsible for specific mRNA codon recognition, and the 3' end, to which the tRNAs corresponding amino acid is attached (by aminoacyl-tRNA synthetases). tRNAs cope with the degeneracy of the genetic code in two manners: having more than one tRNA (with a specific anti-codon) for a particular amino acid; and 'wobble' base-pairing, i.e. permitting non-standard base-pairing at the 3rd anti-codon position.
Source: Rfam
GGCCUUGUAGUGUAGCGGUUAUCACAUCGGAUUCUGAUUCUCAGAAUGUUCCGGUAACCCAGGUUCGAUUCCUGGCAUGGCCU